Molecule: long non-coding RNA, 1525 nt
Organism: Bubalus bubalis (water buffalo)
Lineage: Eukaryota; Metazoa; Chordata; Mammalia; Artiodactyla; Bovidae
Exons: 2
Source: RefSeq, a predicted model, not a curated record
GCCCUCCUCCAGGGGACCUUCCUGAUCCAGGGGUCAAACCCGCGUCUCUUAUGUGUCCUGUGUUGGCAGGUGGGUUCUUUACCACUAGCACCACCUGGGAAGCCCCAAGGAGAAUUGUCUGAAACAGUGACAUAAUUAGACGCGAUGGGGCCUGUGGCCAGUUGAAUGCUCUGACACCUUGUUUCAGUACCUUCAAAUUUAAAAUAAAAUGAAGGAAACAAGCCGACCCCUCACUGACCUGGCCAGACAUCACACAUCUUCUUCCUCUGUGGGAUUCCUGGUAUAGCGAGUCAGUAAGAGAGUGUGAACCCUGGGUGACUGGUUCUAGCGCCACCAUGGAGAAGUUUCAUAACCUCUCUGUUUUAUUUUUUCAUUUGUAAAAAUGCAGAUAAUGUACACCUUGCCUGCUCCAAGGGCUGUUGUGAGAGGCUGAAAUGAAAUAACAUGUGGAAAUGACCUGAAAACGAUUGUUGUUUACAUCGUUGUUGUUUAGUUGCUAAGUUGUGGCCAUCUCUCUGUGACACGAUGGACUGUAUGUAGCCUGCCAGCCUCCUCUGUCUGUGGGAUUCUCCAUGCAGUAAUACUGGAGUGGGUUGCCAAGGGGUCUUCCUGAUCCAGCGGUUGAACCCGUGUUCCCUUCAUCGGCAGGUGGAUUCUUUACCACUGAGCCACCUGCGAUUAAGGCUACAUAAAUGUGAGGACAAUUGUUUUUUUCUGCUUCUGUAAAUCUUAGCAUUUCAACAGAGAUACUCUUCUUGUUAAGAAGAUUCCAUAGCCACACAUUGGAAAACUCCAAAAGGCCAGCUAGUAAAGUCCCCUUUCAAUAGUAUAAGCUUGGUAACAGAUGCAAAGCCUGUUUGAUGUAUUUGCUGGAUUUGAAUGGUUACCUGCAUUUUCCUCUUGACAUUGCAGUAAAAAGAACUAUGAUCUUGUUUUUCUCACCAUUACUUUCUCUUAGAUAUGUGAACACUUUCGACAGUACCAGCAAUAUGGCUCAUAAUUCUCAUAAACCAGAGAUAGAAUCUUGUCAUGGUUAACACAGGUGUCAUUUGGUAUCGAUGGGAGGUUGAUUCCAGGACCCCUGAGGAUGCCAAAAUCCACCAAUGCUCAAAUCCCUUCUACAAAAUGGCAUAGCAGGUCGGCCUCCACAUCCGCAAGUUCCAUAUCCAAGGAUCCCCGGUUGGCUGAAUGCUGCUUCUGCGGAACCUGUGGAUACCGAGGGCCACCUGUGUCUUCCGGGCCUUCCCCAAACUGGUUUUAGAGUAACACUGAUAGUUUUGUGUGUUAGUUGCUGUAUCUAUUGGUCAUAAAGUAAUUGAUAUGCUCUGUGCUAAUAAAUGUGCAUAAAGAAGUGUGCUAUGGACCAGCAGUGAAAACACAAGCUUUUAUAAACUAUCCUUUGUUGAAAAUAAUUUUAUGUCCUCAAGAAAGUGAGUUAUCUUGAUGACAUUUUAAAUAUUACUAAAGAUACAUGAUAUUUUAUCGACACAAAUCUUUCAUAAUAAAUUAAUGUGUCUAACCAUUG